UACCACAGCCAUUAAUCAACCUGCAGCUCAAGACUGGUUACUUAUGAUACUGGCAAGCUUAGCUAUAAGCAGAGCUAAGCUUGGUCAGUACCUGGAUGGGAGACCACAUGGGAAAACUAGGUUGCUGUUGGAA
RNAcentral lists this ribosomal RNA (133 nucleotides) under Danio rerio (zebrafish). Lineage: Eukaryota; Metazoa; Chordata; Actinopteri; Cypriniformes; Danionidae. The record is from RNAcentral.